CCUACGGGUGGCUGCAGUGGGGAAUAUUGGACAAUGGGGGCAACCCUGAUCCAGCCAUGCCGCGUGUGUGAAGAAGGCCCUCGGGUUGUAAAGCACUUUCAGUGAGGAAGAACGCCUGGUGGUUAAUACCCAUCAGGAAGGACAUCACUCACAGAAGAAGCACCGGCUAACUCCGUGCCAGCAGCCGCGGUAAUACGGAGGGUGCGAGCGUUAAUCGGAAUUACUGGGCGUAAAGCGCGCGUAGGUGGCUUGAUAAGCCGGUUGUGAAAGCCCCGGGCUCAACCUGGGAACGGCAUCCGGAACUGUCAAGCUAGAGUGCAGGAGAGGAAGGUAGAAUUCCCGGUGUAGCGGUGAAAUGCGUAGAGAUCGGGAGGAAUACCAGUGGCGAAGGCGACCUUCUGGACUGACACUGACACUGAGGUGCGAAAGCGUGGGUAGCAAACAGGAUUAGAUACCCUUGUAGUC
This 465-nucleotide ribosomal RNA is filed under the name Vreelandella stevensii. RNAcentral's name for it is "partial 16S ribosomal RNA". It matches the Rfam family "Bacterial small subunit ribosomal RNA", at positions 338 to 795 of the family's 1533-position model. The record is from RNAcentral. Lineage: Bacteria; Pseudomonadati; Pseudomonadota; Gammaproteobacteria; Oceanospirillales; Halomonadaceae.